This is an RNA transcript of Fragaria vesca subsp. vesca, 935 nucleotides long. RefSeq lists it as uncharacterized. The transcript has 3 exons. NCBI's taxonomy places the organism in Eukaryota, Viridiplantae, Streptophyta, Magnoliopsida, Rosales, Rosaceae. The record is from RefSeq and is a predicted model, not a curated record.
UGGUAGUUUCGAGAUGGUCUGUGUAUUCCUUUCCAGUUCUAUUGCUGCAAAGAAACACUCUGAUCAUAUUCUACCAAUCUAGAUCACUAGGUGCAUGUAUAACAACUGGUUUUGUCACAAUCUAUGUUUUUGAGCUCUUCUUUUAUUUUAUUUUAUUGUUCAGUCCUUUUGGCACUUAUUUAUGACCUGUAAAGUAAGAGUUACUUGGUUGGCAUCUUGGCAAUAACGAUUUGAGAUGGUUGAGUACUUGAGUUGCAAUUGUCUAAUUAUGGCAAGUUUCUUCCCUUCAUGUAGGAUGUUACAGAUUUUUUAAGGCCCAGGAAUCUCUAUUUGUUAAAACAAAGAAAGUGUGGACUGAUAUGAUAUCAGAUAUGUUCGCAUAGAGGCUGCGACAUGGUGCUGAUACUAGUAUGGGGUACUAAACCUGAUGCUUUGUUGGGCUGAAGGAGAGAGAUGAGAAUUUGAUGAAGCUUGCUGGUCAUGAUAUAUAUGGCUCAAGACAGGAGGAAUUUGUAUCUCUGAGCUUGAUUGAACAUCAUCUUAUGAUUGAUACAAAAUGCAAUGUGAAGUUCAUACAAACACAAUCAAAUCUCUCUCGCUACUAAUCAGGGGAAUGAAGAGUCCAAUCUUCCAUCUAAACUUCGUGGAAUGACUGGUUUCCGGAUGGAUGACGGUCCUUUAAUUUAAGAAAGCAGAAUUUGACUGAGGAGGACCUUCGAGGCUUUGAGGAAAAACCCAUGGCAGUCUCUGCUGCAUCUCUGUGGUACCGUCCGGCCUGAAAAUAUUUGUCAUUUCUUCUGUGGUCAUCGCACAAUCUAAUGUAGUGCUUGUUCAUGUAACCUCAUGGUUGUAAACUGUACCUGUAUGUAUAACCAGGGAGACAUUUUAGUGAGGACUUUUCGGUUUACGGUUUAAAAAACAUAUUUUUCGAUCAC